GCUGGAGUAGCGCAGUUGGUAGCGCAACUGAUUCGUAAUCAGUAGGUCGAGGGUUCAAGUCCCUUCUUCAGCUCCA
This 76-nucleotide transfer RNA is filed under the name Ruminococcus bromii. RNAcentral describes it as "tRNA-Thr". It matches the Rfam family "tRNA". Rfam says of the family: Transfer RNA (tRNA) molecules are approximately 80 nucleotides in length. Their secondary structure includes four short double-helical elements and three loops (D, anti-codon, and T loops). RNAcentral also lists the same sequence under 19 other names. The record is from RNAcentral. Lineage: Bacteria; Bacillati; Bacillota; Clostridia; Eubacteriales; Oscillospiraceae.